RNAcentral lists this transfer RNA (73 nucleotides) under Elusimicrobia bacterium HGW-Elusimicrobia-1. RNAcentral describes it as "tRNA-Thr". It matches the Rfam family "tRNA". From Rfam's summary of the family: Transfer RNA (tRNA) molecules are approximately 80 nucleotides in length. Their secondary structure includes four short double-helical elements and three loops (D, anti-codon, and T loops). The record is from RNAcentral. Lineage: Bacteria; Pseudomonadati; Elusimicrobiota.
GCCGGGGUAGCUCAGUUGGUAGAGCAACGGUUUCGUAAACCGUAGGUCGAGGGUUCGACUCCCUUCCCCGGCU